CCGUAGGUGAACCUGCGGAAGGAUCAUUGUCGAAUCCUGCCAAGCAGAAUGACCAGAGAACUUGUGACGAACUCAAUGGGGGCGAUGGGUCUUCUUUUCCCAUCGUCCCUCGACGCCAGGAUCCCACGGGCGCCUGGAGCGUUCGGGGCAUUCUCGGCGGCACAAAACCCCGGCGCGGAAUGCGCCAAGGAACUUGAACAAGAGAGCGAUGCUCUCACCACCCCAGACAUGGUGCGUGCGUGGGAUGCCAUGCAAUCUCCCAUUAUUCAUAACGACUCUCGGCAACGGAUAUCUCGGCUCUCGCAUCGAUGAAGAACGCAGCAAG
RNAcentral lists this ribosomal RNA (325 nucleotides) under Psidium guajava. Its description in RNAcentral is "partial contains 18S ribosomal RNA, internal transcribed spacer 1 and 5.8S ribosomal RNA". The stretch from base 274 to 325 matches the Rfam family "5.8S ribosomal RNA", at positions 1 to 52 of the family's 154-position model. The record is from RNAcentral. Lineage: Eukaryota; Viridiplantae; Streptophyta; Magnoliopsida; Myrtales; Myrtaceae.